This 368-nucleotide ribosomal RNA is filed under the name uncultured organism. RNAcentral's name for it is "partial 16S ribosomal RNA". It matches the Rfam family "Bacterial small subunit ribosomal RNA", at positions 527 to 896 of the family's 1533-position model. The record is from RNAcentral.
AGAGGGUGCGAGCGUUAAUCGGAAUUACUGGGCGUAAAGCGCGCGUAGGUGGAUAUUUAAGUCGGAUGUGAAAUCCCUGGGGCUCAGCCUAGGAAUUGCAUUCGAUACUGGAUAUCUUGAGUAUAGUAGAGGGAAGUGGAAUUUCCGGUGUAGCGGUGAAAUGCGUAGAUAUCGGAAGGAACAUCAGUGGCGAAGGCGACUUCCUGGACUAAUACUGACACUGAGGUGCGAAAGCGCGGGGAGCAAACAGGAUUAGAGACCCUGGUAGUCCACGCCGUCAACGAUGAGAACUAGACGUUGGAGAGUAAUCUUUAGUGUCGAAGCUAACGCGAUAAGUUCUCCGCCUGGGGAGUACGGCCGCAAGGUUA